UAUAUGCUUGUCUCAGAGAUUAAGCCAUGCAUGUCUAAGUACAUACCUUGAAACGGUGAAACCGCGAAUGGCUCAUUAAAUCAGCUAUGGUUCCUUGGAUCGUACAUACUACAUGGAUAACUGUAGUAAUUCUAGAGCUAAUACAUGCCACUAUGCCCUGACCCGCGAGGGAACGGGUGGAUUUAUUAGAACAGAACCAACCGGGGGCGGCUUCGGUCGUCCCUGUUGCAUUUUUU
This 236-nucleotide ribosomal RNA is filed under the name Fasciola gigantica. RNAcentral describes it as "partial small subunit ribosomal RNA". It matches the Rfam family "Eukaryotic small subunit ribosomal RNA", at positions 26 to 256 of the family's 1831-position model. Lineage: Eukaryota; Metazoa; Platyhelminthes; Trematoda; Plagiorchiida; Fasciolidae. The record is from RNAcentral.